Molecule: long non-coding RNA, 875 nt
Organism: Apis florea (little honeybee)
Lineage: Eukaryota; Metazoa; Arthropoda; Insecta; Hymenoptera; Apidae
Source: RefSeq, a predicted model, not a curated record
GGUGGACUAAGAGCGACGCAAUAAUAACAUUACGCGUCGUGGGAAAGUUCGAAAUAUUUCGAAAACGAAAACAUCGUAACGCGAUUCUCCGAAUUUCGUUUAGUCAUAGCUCAACGAGGUGGAAACAAUAACAAACGCUUGUUAUAUUCGCGCGAAGGAACGAACGUAAUUACAACCACUCGACGAAAGUAUCUUGGCCGCGUCGCUUCGUUUGCCUCGGGUGCUCUCGACGCCGCUUCCGGUUCGGUCUGCGCCUUCGUUGCAGCACAACGGAAAAUGAGGGAAGAAAAUCGCGUGAAAAGAAAAUCAAACCGGCUGCCCUGCUCGUCGCCCUCGGUUUCAGCUUCGAGGAAGAAAUCAACGCCGGGUAACAAUAGCGGAUGGAGCCGAUGGAGAUCUUUGAUGUUGGAGCAAGUUCGACGUACCACUCCUCCCCUCUCGAGAAACUUUGCCAAAGCACGCGCCUCGAAUCCGCGCGGCGAACGUGGUUGCAGGUGGUGAUCGAAAGGUGAAUCUUGGCCACGAAAUCGGCCACCCUCGACCAUGCAUCCCCUCUACGGUAUCCGAGAUCACCGCCACGAGAUACGCAUUCAACGUUUUGACAACGACUAAUCGGACGGCUAUCCUUUUCGUGGGGACGCGAAAACGAUUUUUCUCAAUGACGUAUCACGAUAUCCUUCGCAGGCCGGAUGCGAAUGCAGCUGACUUUGAAAAAUUCCCACCCGUUCUUUCGGUAAUUUAAAACUUCUAAAGCCCAUUAUCAGCGACGAUUGUGAUGAAAAGAUACCGGAUUUGCACCUGCUGCGCCGAUCCCUCCUCUCCAGUUAACGCAGUGGAGAGUGUCUUUUGCGGCCUGUUUACACAUCCGCGAGAGA